GAUGAGCGCUGGCGGCGUGCCUAAUACAUGCAAGUCGAGCGAACAGACGAGGAGCUUGCUCCUCUGACGUUAGCGGCGGACGGGUGAGUAACACAUGGAUAACCUACCUAUAAGACUGGGAUAACUUCGGGAAACCGGAGCUAAUACCGGAUAAUAUAUUGAACCGCAUGGUUCAAUAGUGAAAGACGGUUUUGCUGUCACUUAUAGAUGGAUCCGCGCCGCAUUAGCUAGUUGGUAAGGUAACGGCUUACCAAGGCGACGAUGCGUAGCCGACCUGAGAGGGUGAUCGGCCACACUGGAACUGAGACACGGUCCAGACUCCUACGGGAGGCAGCAGUAGGGAAUCUUCCGCAAUGGGCGAAAGCCUGACGGAGCAACGCCGCGUGAGUGAUGAAGGUCUUCGGAUCGUAAAACUCUGUUAUUAGGGAAGAACAAAUGUGUAAGUAACUAUGCACGUCUUGACGGUACCUAAUCAGAAAGCCACGGCUAACUACGUG
RNAcentral lists this ribosomal RNA (497 nucleotides) under uncultured bacterium. Its description in RNAcentral is "partial 16S ribosomal RNA". It matches the Rfam family "Bacterial small subunit ribosomal RNA", at positions 28 to 507 of the family's 1533-position model. The record is from RNAcentral.